GAUGAAGAACGUAGCGAAAUGCGAUACGUAAUGUGAAUUGCAGAAUUCAGUGAAUCAUCGAAUCUUUGAACGCACAUUGCGCCCGCCAGCACUCUGGCGGGCAUGCCUGUUCGAGCGUCAUUUCAACCAUCAAGCCCCAGGCUUGCGUUGGAGCCCUGCGGCUGCCGCAGCCUCCUAAAAGCAGUGGCGGGCUCGCUAUCACACCGAGUGCAGUAGAUUACUCUUCGCUCAGGGCGUGCAGCGGGUUCCGGCCGUGAAACCCCCUACUUUUAAAGGUUUACCUCGGAUCAGGUAGGAAUACCCGCUGAACUUAAGCAUAUCAAUAAGCGGAGGA
This 334-nucleotide unclassified non-coding RNA is filed under the name soil metagenome. RNAcentral describes it as "partial contains 5.8S ribosomal RNA, internal transcribed spacer 2, and large subunit ribosomal RNA". The stretch from base 1 to 120 matches the Rfam family "5.8S ribosomal RNA", at positions 35 to 154 of the family's 154-position model. The record is from RNAcentral.